GAUGAACGCUGGCGGCGUGCCUAAUACAUGCAAGUCGAGCGGACGGACGAUGAGCUUGCGUCUCUCUUGUUAGCGGCGCACGUGUGUAUAACGCGUGUAUCACCUCCCUGUCAGACUGAUAACACCUCGGGACACCGGCGCUUACAGCGGAUAAUAUUUUGAUGCACGUUGGUCAAAAGUAAAAUACGGUGUUUCGGUAACUACUAGCUGGUUCCGCGCUGUAUUGGCUAGUUGGUAAGGUAACGGCUUACCAAGGCAACGAUGCAUGACCGAGCGGAGGGGGUGAUCGGCCACACUGGAACUGAGACACGGUCCAGACUCCUACGGGAGGCAGCAGUAGGGAAUCUUCCGCAAUGGGCGAAAGCCUGACGGAGCAACGCCGCGUGAGUGACGAAGGUCUUCGGAUCGUAAAACUCUGUUAUGAGGGAAGAACAUAUGUGUAAGUAACUGUGCACAUCUUGACGGUACCUAAUCAGAAAGCCACGGCUAACUACGUG
RNAcentral lists this ribosomal RNA (497 nucleotides) under uncultured bacterium. RNAcentral's name for it is "partial 16S ribosomal RNA". It matches the Rfam family "Bacterial small subunit ribosomal RNA", at positions 28 to 507 of the family's 1533-position model. The record is from RNAcentral.